This is a long non-coding RNA of Pleuronectes platessa (European plaice), 1030 nucleotides long. RefSeq lists it as uncharacterized. Lineage: Eukaryota; Metazoa; Chordata; Actinopteri; Pleuronectiformes; Pleuronectidae. The transcript is spliced from 3 exons. The record is from RefSeq and is a predicted model, not a curated record.
CUCACAACGGAGCGUUUGAAAGCUCGUAUCUUUAGACAUUUAAACGCUAGUGCUCGGAGUGCAGGGGAUGGGGGGCCGCGGUGUGGGGAAGGUGAAACUUCGGGUGUCGUCGUCACCUCUGGAAGUGUCAGAAAACCGAGUUAAGGUCUCACCAGCAGGAUCUACUGUUCCUUCCCAGAUUCUGCAGAGGUGUUAAUUAUCAGAGGGCCGGUGGUGAGGAGCGGUGGGCCUCUCGGCAGACCGGCAGGAAUGUGGACCAUAUGUAGCAGGCAUCCCAAGAAUGUAACUCGGCCUCGCUGAACUGACCAACCUAAAGACACAGAUAGGGAGGAGGAAAGGGGAUGAAAUUGAAGGCAGAGCAAGGACGAAAAGAGAUCACGGAGGGAUGGAGGGAAAUGAAAGCGCGGAUUGGUAUAUAAAGAGGGCUCAACAAAGUGCAUGGGAAAUGAGUGUGGGGAAGAUGGGAGGGUGGAGAUGUGAUAGAAAAGGGAAAUGGACAAGCUUAAAAGCAGGAAAGUAGAUACAUAUUCCAUAAUUGUAAAUUUUACUUGACUGGUGUUAUAAUUGUAACUACACUUUUCUAUUGAUGUAUUUUACUGUUGUUCUACUUUUCAUCAUGUCUGACAGAAUAUGAAUUGGCAAAAACUCUGAAAAUCAAAGUAUUUUAUUUUAUCAUUAUAUCAUUUGAAAGAAGUUAUCUUUGAAAUGAUAAAUGUGAAAUCCAAAAUAUUUACCAGGCAACCAGGGAGCUGAAAAUUGCAUGGGAAAAUAUGUCUGCAAGUAACUUAAAAUAAAAACAAUUUAGUGUUGAGUUGCUAAGUAAAUGUGUCAGUACAGGGUAGUCAUUGAGUAACCAUUAGUACAGGCUUCAUUCAAUCCUGUAAACUGUUGGAUGCUAACUUCAUGUCAUAUCUAAUGUAUUCAGUACAUAGCCACAAUGAUAUAGAGGAUAUUUAAUAGGCUGCGUCUUACGUGGAUUAAAGAGCAUGUGCAUCCAGAAAUUUGGUUCAUGAGCUAAACGUUGUCGAGG